RNAcentral lists this long non-coding RNA (307 nucleotides) under Macaca nemestrina (pig-tailed macaque). RNAcentral's name for it is "lncRNA (ENSMNEG00000046138.1)". Lineage: Eukaryota; Metazoa; Chordata; Mammalia; Primates; Cercopithecidae. The record is from RNAcentral.
AGCUUUGGAAACAAAUUAACAAAGACUUAGAACCCUGAGGCAGUAGCUGCUUGGACUGGCUGUGGAAUAUAUCCAGAAAGGUGGCAGCUGAAUGAUCUUAUACAAAUACAUUUCAUCUGUUUCCUCAUCAAGAAAUGGAAAUGCCUCAAUCUGGCUCUGGAAAGGUAGUCCUAGAUCACCCAGUGGCCUUUUACUGGAAAAGUCCUGCAAUAUCUCUGUCCCAAGAAGGAGCUUGCUGAGCUUCAUUACUCCCAAUCACAGAACUUGGAACUCUAACUUUAGCAAGCUGUAUCACCUGCAUCUAUGA